Molecule: long non-coding RNA, 1024 nt
Organism: Oncorhynchus tshawytscha (Chinook salmon)
Lineage: Eukaryota; Metazoa; Chordata; Actinopteri; Salmoniformes; Salmonidae
Source: Ensembl
CCCCCCCUCUCUCUGUGUGUGUGCAGGAGGAGGAGAAUAACACCGACCAGUGCGGAGGACACAGCUCUGGAGAGGAGGCAGCCCUGCUGCUGCCUGAGACCACAGACACAGUCCUCAGUGACCUGGCUAAUACCUCUCAGUGGUAGAGAGCGGAGCUACAGGACCAAGUCAACAGCAUCACUGUCAGUGUGUUCUUUACUUUUAAUUCAGUAUUCAGCGCACACACACACACACACACACACACACACACACACACACACACACACACACACACACACACACACACACACACACACUACAACUCACCUCUCUGACAAAUGCUGUUAAUAUGCAAUUUGCUUCUACAUUUUUCUAUGAACUUCUUCUUUGAUGUGUGACUUCUAGGCUGUUGUGCUGCACCUGCACAUAACAUGGUCCUAAGGAUGACAUAAUGCCUGUCAUAACAGGUCGUGACAGCUCAAAUCAUAGUUACGACCUCUCGUGGACGUUCUAAAGCGUGAAGCGCUUAAACAUUUAAGUCUUAGUUAGAUGUUUAAUAGUUUAUGUUUCACAACAGGGUUAUUUCGGUUGCAGGAGGAGUGAUGUUGGGAGCUUUACGACCGGCGUUAUGUCAUUUUUAUGACGCCGUUAUUAUGAGGCAUCAUGACAGCCACUGUAAUUAAGAUAUUUUGAGUGAAUGUAUCCGUCUCCUUUUUCAAAUCUAAAAGUUGAUUUGAACCCUUCCGUCGGUGCGACAACUUUAAACAUUUCAGACUACUGUAAUAAUAGUCAUUCAAACGUACUUAGACUUUUGUUUGAAGAAUCAUUGUAAAGUACAGAUAUGUAUAAUGUUUUUCCUCCUUAUAUUCAAAACCUGAGAUGUUAUAUUAUAAGCAUUUUCUGUUAUUCAUUAUUAGACAUUUAAAUUCCUGCUUUAUUAGGGGUGUUGUAGUACUAGUUGAAAGGAGACUCAAAGGUAGAGAGGCGUCCAAAAUGGGGGAGAACGGUUGAAAACGCUUCUGGUAAAGGGUGGCAGUUUGAGGGC